ACAUUGGUGGUUCAAUGGCAGAAUUCUUGCCUCCUGUGCGGGGGACCGGGGUUUGAUUCCCAGCCAAGCUA
Molecule: transfer RNA, 71 nt
Filed under: Loxodonta africana (African savanna elephant)
Lineage: Eukaryota; Metazoa; Chordata; Mammalia; Proboscidea; Elephantidae
Rfam family: tRNA
About the family: Transfer RNA (tRNA) molecules are approximately 80 nucleotides in length. Their secondary structure includes four short double-helical elements and three loops (D, anti-codon, and T loops).
Source: Rfam by way of RNAcentral